UCAAGCUGUAAAGGGCGCAAGGGGAAUGCCUUGGCACUGAGAGCCGACGAAGGACGCGACAAGCUGCGAUAAGCUACGGGGAGCCGCAAAUGGGCUUUGAUCCGUGGAUUUCCGAAUGGGGAAACCCGGCAGAGCAAUACUCUGUCAACAUGUACUGAAUACAUAGGUACAUGUGGGGAACCGCCUGAACUGAAACAUCUAAGUAGGGCGAGGAAGAGAAAUCAACCGAGAUUCCGCUAGUAGUGGCGAGCGAACGCGGAAGAGGCCAAACCGGAGGUAGCAAUAUUUCCGGGGUUAGGACUGCAAUAUGUAACUUUAAUCUUUAACUGAAUGCUUUGGGAAGAGCAGCAAUAUAGGGUGAUAGCCCCGUAAGUGAAAAGGAUUGAGUGCUAGCAGUAUCCAGAGUACCAGCGGACACGUGAAACCCGCUGGGAAGAUGGGGGGACCAUCCUCCAAGCCUAAAUACUACUCAGUGACCGAUAGUGGAGCAGUACCGUGAGGGAAAGGUGAAAAGUACCCCGGGAGGGGAGUGAAAAAGAACCUGAAACCUUGUGCCUACAAGCACCGAGAGCACGUUAAAGUGUGAUCGGGUACUUUUUGUAGAACGGUCCGGCGAGUUAAUAUUUGCAGCGAGGUUAAGGAACUGGAGUUCCGGAGCCGCAGCGAGAGCGAGUCUGAAUAGGGCGUAUGAAGUUGCAGGUAUUAGACCCGAAACCGGGUGACCUAUCCAUGAGCAGGCUGAAGCGGUGGUAAGACACCGUGGAGGGCCGCACCCACGUCUGUUGAAAAAGCCGGGGAUGACUUGUGGAUAGCGGAGAAAUUCCAAUCGAACUCGGAGAUAGCUGGUUCUCCCCGAAAUAGCUUUAGGGCUAGCGUUAUUUUAGAUUACCGGAGGUAAAGCACUGAAUGGUCUAGGGGCCGCGAGGUUACCAAAGCCUAUCAAACUCUGAAUGCCGGAUAAUUGAUGAAUAGCAGUCAGACUGUGUGAGAUAAGUCUCAUAGUCAAAAGGGAAACAGCCCAGAUCUACAGCUAAGGUCCCAAAUGAACACUAAGUGGAAAAUGAUGUGAAACUGCGAAGACAACCAGGAUGUUGGCUUAGAAGCAGCCACUCAUUCAAAGAGUGCGUAAUAGCUCACUGGUCGAGUGGUUUUGCGCAGAAAAUGUAACGGGGCUAAGUGUUCAACCGAAGCUUAGGCAUUGCAGUAAUGCAUUGGGUAGGGGAGCGUCGUAUGCGGGGUGAAGUCAGAGCGGAAGCACUGGUGGACUGCAUACGAGUGAGAAUGCCGGAAUAAGUAGCGAGAAUUAUGUGAGAAUCAUAAUGGCCGAAAAUCUAAGGUUUCUUGGGGAAGGUUCGUCCGCCCAAGGUUAGUCGGGAGCUAAGCUCAGGCCGAAAGGCGUAGGCGAUGCACAUACGGUAGAAAUUCCGUAACCACCGAACAUUUAAGCUAGAGGGACGCUUUCUUUAAGGUUAUCCCGGGCGAUGGUUGCCCCGGGCGUAAGGGACCGAAAUAUAGUAGGGAAGUAACUGGCGAGAGAGACGAGAAAAGCUCUAGUGUAUACUAAGGUGCCCGUACCGCAAACCGACACAGGUAGAUGGGAUGAGUAUUCUAAGGCCAACGGGAGAAGGGUUGUUAAGGAACUCGGCAAAUUGGCCCCGUAACUUCGGGAUAAGGGGCGCCUGCGAGAGCAGGCCGCAGUGAAAAGGCCCAAGCGACUGUUUAGCAAAAACACAGCUCUCUGCUAAAUCGAAAGAUGACGUAUAGGGGGUGACGCCUGCCCGGUGCUGGAAGGUUAAGGGGAGUGCUUAGCGCAAGCGAAGGUGCGAACUUAAGCCCCAGUAAACGGCGGCCGUAACUAUAACGGUCCUAAGGUAGCGAAAUUCCUUGUC
RNAcentral lists this ribosomal RNA (1889 nucleotides) under human gut metagenome. RNAcentral describes it as "bacterial LSU rRNA". It matches the Rfam family "Bacterial large subunit ribosomal RNA", at positions 3 to 1973 of the family's 2925-position model. The record is from RNAcentral.